This is a long non-coding RNA of Carassius auratus (goldfish), 3047 nucleotides long. Lineage: Eukaryota; Metazoa; Chordata; Actinopteri; Cypriniformes; Cyprinidae. The record is from Ensembl.
GCUAAAGCCUCCCCGUGCCUUUGGACCAGUGGUUUGGGUCAUGUUUUUUGUUGGAGUUCUAAUUCUGUUUUUUUUUUUUUGUGCUUUAGACCUCAAUCCACCUGCAUUUAUCCUGCAUUCUGCCUACUAUGCCAGCUCAACAAACUAAUCUCUCUGCUCUACCAACAUAUCUCUGGCCUGUUUGGUUUCCAGUGCAUAUAUUCUAACAAUCUUCAACAGCAAAGGAGAGAUGGGUUGUGUUGCUUGACUUUUGGGAAUAAACUAAUUUUAUUUGCAUACAUUUUUGUUCUGCUAUUAGGUCUACAACUGCUUUGGUUACAACAGAACAAUCUGGCCAAAUCAAGGACCCAGCAGAAACCGAUUCAGUUCACAAAGCUCUCUCUGGUCAAGGUGCACUUUUGGGACAGCAUGACCUUCACCUUCGAAAUCUCACAGAAAGCAAUGAAGCCAGCAAUGAAGACCUCACUCCACCUGCAUUCAUCCUGCAUUCUGCCUGCUACGCCCGUUCAACAAACUAAUCUCUCUGCUCAACAUAUUUCUGGCCUGUUUGGUUUGCAGCCCAUAUCUUCUAAUAAUCUUCACCCACAAAGAAGAGAUGGAUUGUGCUGCUUGCCUUUUGGGAAUAAACUAUUUUUAUUUGCAUAAUUUUUAGUCUGUGUUCUGCUUUUGGGUCCAAAACUGGGUUUGGUUACAACAGAUGUUCACAGAUGUGAUGAUGGCUGAUUUUAGUGAGAGGAUAAAGAUCUUUUUGAAGACCCUGGUGAACUGCUUGUACAAGGACCUCCAUGUAUAAAAGAAAGACAUUUAUUUUUCAUUCAGCCAGACAUUUGUAAGAGUGAAUACUGUACACACACUGAAAACAUUCAUUUACCCUUUCAUUUUCAUAUACACUGUCAUUUAUAAAUUAUAGUGAGAUGUUUUUAAUACAUAAUGCUUCCUUUGUACAGAACUUUACACAGUGCAUUUAUAUGAAAAUGAAAUAACAUAAUACAAAAUGCAGCAGAAAUAAUUUUUAUACCUAUAUAUUUUUCUUGUGAAUCCCAAUGUUCUUUACUGAAAUCUGCCCAAAUAAUUAUUUCAUAUUAAUAAUAUUGUUAUUAAUUAUAUUAAAAUAAUGAUGUAUUAAUAUAAAGUUGUUACGGGUUAGCUGGUGUGUAAUGAAGGGCGCAUGAGGAAGACGAUAUACAAAAGUGUACUUUUAAUAAUCGCAGGAGAAUAAGGGCACAUCCAACAUAACACAAUAUACAAACGUAAUCACGGAGGAGGAGGAACUAAAAAGACAGGGUAUUUAAGAACACGGGAGGUAAUCAGGGAAAUGGAGACAGGUGGGGAUUAAUCAAAUCAACCAAACAAGAACAGGAAAAAGACCAAUUAAGGGAACUCAAACUCUAUGUACGUAACAGUUCGCCCCCUCCCGGAACGGUGCGUCCUCGCACUGCAAGAGGAAUACCAGCGGAGGGAGGGUGGGGGUUCUGGAGGCGGGCAUGGGGCAGGCAAGGGGCAGCCAAAGAGGGAGCAUGGAGCAUGGAAACAGGGUGGAGUGGAUGGAGGGAGGAGCCAGGGAGGAGCCCGGAGCAGGAGGAGCCAGAUGGUGCUCCAGAGACCAGCCAGGAUGAAGAUCCACUGUGGAGUCCACAGCGGGAUGAGCCAUGGUGGAGGAGAAGACGACAACACCAGGGGGCCGACAGAUGGAGACUGCGCCGGUGGGUGAGGAGCCCAAGAUGGAGCAGAGCAGUCGCAGAGCCAGUGUGACACUGAGGGUCCGGAGGUCCAAGGGAGAGCUGAAGGCCCAGCUAACCAAUCACAGCACAUUUCAUAUUUCAGAAGGGGGGCCUCCAUUUGAAAUAUUCGAGCCGUUCAUGCCAGACUGGGGAGAGAGGUUUAGUAAUAAUGUAAAAUAUAUGAAAAAAUAAUUUUUUCAAACAUCCUAGUAUGAGAGCCUGUUCUAGACUUUGUAAAAGAGCAUAUUAGGACCCCUUUAAAAGCACUAAAUACACUUCUGUGUCUUUCUAAAGCAAGGCUGGAUUUACCUCUUAUCAUGACAAACAGGCAAAACUCAUUUUUGUUCAUGCAAGGCCCAGUUUGUAAAAGUAAACUAUUAAUUUAAAUUAUAGACAAGUGCAAUAUCUGCUUAAUGCAAAUGUAAUUGGCUUCAUUUACAAAAUUAGGUUCAAGUUUAUUUGUAUAGUGCUUUUUACAAUACAAAUCGUUACAAAGCAACUUUACAGAAAAGUUGAUUUUGUUCGCCUGUCAAUUCAAAUGUCUUUUGAUUGAGGUUAAUCACUGUCUGUCAGGUCAGUUUAUAGUCGUGAUAGCAAAGACACUGAUAAAUAAACACCUAAUCUUCAUCUUCAGAAAACCUCUUCAGCUUUUUAUUUUAUUUCUCAUCGAACACAAAACAAAUUCAAUCAUACUGGCAGGAAAUGUUCUUUAGAUUGUGUUUAUUUAUAUCCAUUUAUUUGUAUUAAACACCACGCUGACGGAAGGAAAGUAAUUUAAAAUAAGAUAAAAUUAGACAAAAAUUAUAUUUAAAGUAAAUAUAUAUAUAUAUUUUAAUCCAUUCAUUUAGCAACGGAUGUAGUGCUGGAUGCUGCUCGGACGCGCAGACAGUUAUGCUACACGCUUCAAAUAUCUCACUUAAAGGACCCUUCGAAGGGAGUAGGGCAUAGGGAUGCUCACUUCGGUUUGCUAUUCGCCCCAAAUGACCAAAGACAUAUAUACGUAGACGCCUCAUGACGUGCUGGAGCGUGAACCAGCGUCGGUGCCAUAUUGGUUGGGUCUCUCCACUCAACGCUAGCACCAGAGUCAAUCGGAGUUAACGGAGAGCGAGCAAUUAUGCCCGUAUUUUGUGCAGCUUACGGUUGCAAUAACCGACGCAAUAUUGAUACCAGAUCGCAUGGGAUUACAUUCCACAAGUAGGAUUGAACAAUAAUUUAGGUUAUUUUACCAUUUAUACAAUUAUGCCAUCAUGACUAACGUUACUUACAUGUAACGUUCAGCAGGAACUUGUAACGCAACUUACUCUCAUUAUCUCUUGCUGGGUUUUU